UAGUAACGGCGAGUGAAGCGGGAAGAGCUCAAGCUUAAAAUCUCCGUGCAAGUUUUGUGCGGCGAAUUGUAGUCUAUAGAGGCGUGGUCAGCGUGGGCGCUUGGGGCAAGUUCCUUGGAAGAGGACAGCAUGGAGGGUGAUACUCCCGUUCAUCCCUGAGUUGCUCGUGCGUACGGCCCGUUUUCUUUGAGUCGCGUUGUUUGGGAAUGCAGCGCAAAGUAGGUGGUAAAUUCCAUCUAAAGCUAAAUAUUGGUGCGAGACCGAUAGCGAACAAGUACCGUGAGGGAAAGAUGAAAAGAACUUUGAAAAGAGAGUUAAAGAGUACCUGAAACUGCUGAAAGGGAACCGAAUCGUUUCCAGUGUCUAUAAUCCGUGGUAUAUUUCAUUGGCGAGUGUGUGCGUGCGUGUGCUGUGGCAGCGGCUUUUUAGGCUGCGCUCGGCGUGUGUGCUGUGUGUGCUUGCUGGUGCCCUGUACUGCGGUGGGACGUCAAGGUCAGUUCGUAUGCUGCGGGAAAUGGCUGCCGAGGAGGUAGGGCUUACGCUUGCGUUUGUCUGUUAUAUCUUGGUGGACGAGUAGUCGCGGUUGGGACUGAGGUGCCUACAACGUGCUUUUGAGUGGGUUUGUGUCUCCGUGUGCGCCGUGUGCGGAUAGCUUGCUAUGCGUGUGUGGUUGUGUGUGGAUUGAUGCGGGCUUUAACUUGUUGCCGUUC
Molecule: ribosomal RNA, 710 nt
Filed under: Phytophthora cactorum
Lineage: Eukaryota; Oomycota; Peronosporomycetes; Peronosporales; Peronosporaceae
Description: eukaryotic LSU rRNA
Rfam family: Eukaryotic large subunit ribosomal RNA
Source: RNAcentral